Molecule: ribosomal RNA, 460 nt
Filed under: uncultured bacterium
Lineage: Bacteria
Description: partial 16S ribosomal RNA
Rfam family: Bacterial small subunit ribosomal RNA
Source: RNAcentral
CCUACGGGUGGCAGCAGUGAGGAAUAUUGGUCAAUGGGCGCGAGCCUGAACCAGCCAAGUAGCGUGAAGGAUGACUGUCCUACGGGUUGUAAACUUUUUUUAUAAAGGAAUCAAGUGAGGCACGUGUGCCUGUUUGUCUUGACUUUAUCAAUAAGGAUCGGCAAACUCCGUGCCAGCAGCCGCGGUAAUACGGAGGAUCCGAGCGUUAUCCGGUUUUAUUGGGUUUAAAGGGAGCGUAGACGGGUUGUUAAGUCAGUUGUGAAAGUUUACGGCUCAACCGUAAAAUUGCAAUUGAUACUGGCAGUCUUGAGUACAGUUGAGGUAAGCGGAAUUCGUGGUGUAGCGGUGAAAUGCUUAGAUAUAACGAAGAACUCCGAUUGCGAAGGCAGCUUACUAAACUGCAACUGACAUUGAUGCUCGAAAGUGUGGGGAUCAAACAGGAUUAGAUACCCCGGUAGUC